AACAUCACACAUUUGUGAGAACAAAAAUAUGUUUCAAUCAUUAGACAGAAGUAGACGUGAUGAGCUAAAAAUGGUAAAUUCUGGGACAUCGACAAUCGAAGGGAUCAGGACUGUAAAAUUUGAGAAGGAUGACAGAAGAAUGACGAUACUGAAUGAAACAUUGCACGUUCCAGACCUAAGAUCAAAUUUAAUGCCUGUUGGGAAAAUAACAGAUAAAAACCUUCCAAAGGAAAUCCGCAGUUAUUUUAAAUCAAAAUAAUGAAUUCGCCGUCACCGCCAAAUCAGGAAAUCUUUAUUAUAUUAACACAUUGACAGAUAGUGCAAAUUUCACUAACUCAGGCAGACUUAAAAAUGUGGCAUGAAUGUCUCGGCAAUUUAAAUGAACAAGAUUUGAAGAACCUAUCCAAGAAGCAGCUAGUUCUAGGCUUAAAAAUUAAUUCGAAUGAAAGAUUACCUACAUGCGAGAC
This 467-nucleotide long non-coding RNA is filed under the name Androctonus crassicauda. The record is from RNAcentral. Lineage: Eukaryota; Metazoa; Arthropoda; Arachnida; Scorpiones; Buthidae.